UACGUAGGGUGCAAGCGUUGUCCGGAAUUAUUGGGCGUAAAGAGCUCGUAGGCGGUUUGUCGCGUCUGCUGUGAAAACUCGGGGCUUAACCCCGGGCCUGCAGUGGGUACGGGCAGACUAGAGUGCGGUAGGGGAGACUGGAAUUCCUGGUGUAGCGGUGAAAUGCGCAGGUAUCAGGAGGAACACCGGUGGCGAAGGCGGGUCUCUGGGCCGUAACUGACGCUGAGGAGCGAAAGCGUGGGGAGCGAACAGG
Molecule: ribosomal RNA, 253 nt
Filed under: uncultured bacterium
Lineage: Bacteria
Description: partial 16S ribosomal RNA
Rfam family: Bacterial small subunit ribosomal RNA
Source: RNAcentral